RNAcentral lists this small RNA (107 nucleotides) under Flavobacterium saliperosum. RNAcentral's name for it is "Flavo-1 RNA". It matches the Rfam family "Flavo-1 RNA". The record is from RNAcentral. Lineage: Bacteria; Pseudomonadati; Bacteroidota; Flavobacteriia; Flavobacteriales; Flavobacteriaceae.
UUCCAGCCCUGAUGGGAGCGGCAUCCUGUCAUUGCUAACGGGCGCGGCAAUCUCUUUUUAGAUUGCUUCCUUCGCAAUGACAGAUACAGCGGACAGCAGGAACCGAC